GAGUUUGAUCAUGGCUCAGAUUGAACGCUGGCGGCAUGCCUUACACAUGCAAGUCGAACGGCAGCACGGGAGCUUGCUCCUGGUGGCGAGUGGCGAACGGGUGAGUAAUGCAUCGGAACGUAUCCUGGAGUGGGGGAUAACGUAGCGAAAGUUACGCUAAUACCGCAUAUUCUGUGAGCAGGAAAGCGGGGGACCUUCGGGCCUCGCGCUCUUGGAGCGGCCGAUGUCGGAUUAGCUAGUUGGUGAGGUAAAGGCUCACCAAGGCGACGAUCCGUAGCAGGUCUGAGAGGAUGAUCUGCCACACUGGAACUGAGACACGGUCCAGACUCCUACGGGAGGCAGCAGUGGGGAAUUUUGGGACAAUGGGGGCAACCCUGAUCCAGCCAUGCCGCGUGAGUGAAGAAGGCCU
Molecule: ribosomal RNA, 409 nt
Filed under: bacterium enrichment culture clone ALO1_GLFRUDD03G5K1V
Lineage: Bacteria
Description: bacterial SSU rRNA
Rfam family: Bacterial small subunit ribosomal RNA
Source: RNAcentral